AUAUCAAUAAGCGGAGGAAAAGAAACCAACAGGGAUUGCCUCAGUAACGGCGAGUGAAGCGGCAACAGCUCAAAUUUGAAAUCUGGCCCGUCUCCGGGUCCGAGUUGUAAUUUGUAGAGGAUGCUUCGGGCAAGGCUGCGGUCCAAGUUCUUUGGAACAGGACAUCAUAGAGGGUGAGAAUCCCGUCUCUAACCGUAAGCCGCGUCCAUGUGAAGCUCCUUCGACGAGUCGGGUUGUUUGGGAAUGCAGCUCAAAAUGGGUGGUAAAUUUCAUCUAAAGCUAAAUAUUGGCCAGAGACCGAUAGCGCACAAGUAGAGUGAUCGAAAGAUGAAAAGCACUUUGAAAAGAGAGUUAAACAGCAUGUGAAAUUGUUGAAAGGGAAGCGCUUGCAGCCAGACUUGUGGGCGGCGAUUCAGCCGUUCUUCUGAACGGUGCACUUUGCCGUCUCCAGGCCAGCAUCGGUUUGGGCAGCCAGUGAAAGGCCCGGGGAAUGUACCAACCCUCCGGGGUUGACUUAUAGCCCCGGGUGCCAUGUGGCUCGCCUAGACCGAGGAACGCGCUCUGCACGGAUGCUGGCGUAAUGGCUGUAAGCGACCCGUCUUGAAACACGGACCAAGGAGUCUAACAUCUAUGCGAGUGUUCGGGUGCCAAACCCUUGCGCGUAAUGAAAGUGAACGGAGGUAGGAACCCUUUGGGGUGCACUAUCGACCGAUCCUGAUGUUCUCGGAUGGAUUUGAGUAAGAGCAUAGCUGUUGGGACCCGAAAGAUGGUGAACUAUGCGUGUAUAGGGUGAAGCCAGAGGAAACUCUGGUGGAGGCUCGCAGCGGUUCUGACGUGCAAAUCGAUCGUCAAAUACGCGUAUAGGGGCGAAAGACUAAUCGAACCAUUGGACAGUCCACCCAAACCAGGUGGUUCGUUGUAGGGGGUAUCCCUCUCCCUAUCUAGCCUGUGCUGAGAUCACAGGUUACACCGUUAGUAUAGCGGGAACUCUCAACCGAGAUCCGCAGCAGUACCUUCUAGGACUGUUCACAGACUAUAGAAUGGUGGUCAGAUGGGAACGUUCCCGCUGAUGAAAAGAUAGCCGGACGACGCUCCUCGGGGUAUCCCCCGUCGAGCUCGAUAAUCGCUGGUAGCUGGUUCCUGC
Molecule: ribosomal RNA, 1144 nt
Filed under: Pyrenula confinis
Lineage: Eukaryota; Fungi; Ascomycota; Eurotiomycetes; Pyrenulales; Pyrenulaceae
Description: LSU rRNA
Rfam family: Eukaryotic large subunit ribosomal RNA
Source: RNAcentral